This 106-nucleotide ribosomal RNA is filed under the name Candidatus Cryptobacteroides merdigallinarum. Its description in RNAcentral is "partial 23S ribosomal RNA". It matches the Rfam family "Bacterial large subunit ribosomal RNA", at positions 1 to 107 of the family's 2925-position model. Lineage: Bacteria; Pseudomonadati; Bacteroidota; Bacteroidia; Bacteroidales. The record is from RNAcentral.
GAAGAAAUCAAGAAGGGCGGACGGUGGAUGCCUAGGCUUCCGGAGGCGAAGAAGGACGUGGACAGCUGCGAAAAGCCCCGGGGAACUGCAACGAGUUUCGAUCCGG